UUUAUGGAGAGUUUGAUCCUGGCUCAGGAUGAACGCUGGCGGCGUGCCUAAUACAUGCAAGUCGAGCGAACGGACGAGAAGCUUGCUUCUCUGAUGUUAGCGGCGGACGGGUGAGUAACACGUGGAUAACCUACCUAUAAGACUGGGAUAACUUCGGGAAACCGGAGGUAAUACCGGAU
Molecule: ribosomal RNA, 179 nt
Filed under: Staphylococcus aureus
Lineage: Bacteria; Bacillati; Bacillota; Bacilli; Caryophanales; Staphylococcaceae
Description: partial 16S ribosomal RNA
Rfam family: Bacterial small subunit ribosomal RNA
Source: RNAcentral